RNAcentral lists this ribosomal RNA (433 nucleotides) under uncultured bacterium. RNAcentral's name for it is "partial 16S ribosomal RNA". It matches the Rfam family "Bacterial small subunit ribosomal RNA", at positions 29 to 507 of the family's 1533-position model. The record is from RNAcentral.
AACGAACGCUGGCGGCACGCCUAACACAUGCAAGUCGAACGAGACCUUCGGGACUAGUUGCGCACAGGUGCGUAACGCGUGGGAACCGGCCCUUAGGUUCGGAAUAACUCCCCGACAGGGGUGCUAAUACAGGAUAAUGUCUUCUAACCAAAGAUUUGUCGCCUUUGGAUGGGCCCGCGUUGUUUUAGCUGGUUGGUAGUGUAAGAGCCUCUCACGGCAUGGAUCCCUAGCUGGGAUGAGAGGAAGAGACGCCACACUGGGACGCAGACACGGCCCAGAAUCUUAGGGGAGGCAGCAGUGGGGAAUAUUGGAAAAUGGGGGAAGGCAUGAUCGAGCAAUGCCGGGAGAGUGAUGAAGGCGUUAGGGAAGUAAAGCUGUUUUAUACGGGAUGAUAAUGACAGUACCGGGAGAAUAAGCUCCGGCUAACUUCGUG